Molecule: ribosomal RNA, 498 nt
Filed under: Acinetobacter lwoffii
Lineage: Bacteria; Pseudomonadati; Pseudomonadota; Gammaproteobacteria; Moraxellales; Moraxellaceae
Description: partial 16S ribosomal RNA
Rfam family: Bacterial small subunit ribosomal RNA
Source: RNAcentral
UGGAGCAUGUGGUUUAAUUCGAUGCAACGCGAAGAACCUUACCUGGUCUUGACAUAGUAAGAACUUUCCAGAGAUGGAUUGGUGCCUUCGGGAACUUACAUACAGGUGCUGCAUGGCUGNCGUCAGCUCGUGUCGUGAGAUGUUGGGUUAAGUCCCGCAACGAGCGCAACCCUUUUCCUUAUUUGCNNNCGGGUUAAGCCGGGAACUUUAAGGAUACUGCCAGUGACNAACUGGAGGAAGGCGGGGACGACGUCNAGUCAUCAUGGCCCCUUACGACCAGGGCUACACACGUGCUACAAUGGUCGGUACAAAGGGUUGCUACUNCNNGAGAGGAUGCUAAUCUCNAAAAGCCGAUCGUAGUCCGGAUUGGAGUCUGCAACUCGACUCCAUGAAGUCGGAAUCGCUAGUAAUCGCGGAUCAGAAUGCCGCGGUGAAUACGUUCCCGGGCCUUGUACACACCGCCCGUCACACCAUGGGAGUUUGUUGCACCAGAAGUAG